This 599-nucleotide ribosomal RNA is filed under the name uncultured bacterium. RNAcentral describes it as "bacterial SSU rRNA". It matches the Rfam family "Bacterial small subunit ribosomal RNA", at positions 1 to 633 of the family's 1533-position model. The record is from RNAcentral.
GCGAUGCUCUGAUUACAUCUUGAUCCUGGCUCAGGAUGAACGCUGGCGGCGUGCUUAACACAUGCAAGUCGAACGGAGAUUACUUUUUAGCUUGCUAAGUUGUAAUCUUAGUGGCGGACGGGUGAGUAACGCGUGGGUAACCUGCCUUAUACCGGGGGACAACAGUUGGAAACGACUGCUAAUACCGCAUAAGCGCACAGUCUCGCAUGAGACGGUGUGAAAAACUCCGGUGGUAUAAGAUGGACCCGCGUCUGAUUAUCCUUUGUUGGCGGUGUGUAACGGACCACCAAAGCGACGAUCAGUAGCCGGCCUGAGAGGGUGAACGGCCACAUUGGGACUGAGACACGGCCCAAACUCCUACGGGGAGGCAGCAGUGGGGAAUAUUGCACAUGGAGGAACUCUGAUGCAGCGACGCGCGUGAGUGAGGAAGUAUUUCGGUAUGUAAAGCUCUAUCAGCAGAAAGAAAUGACAGUACUGACUAGAGCCCGGCUACUACUGCACACCCCGGUAUACUAAGGGGAGCGUAUCCGAUUACUGGUGUAAGGAGCGAACGCCUGCAGCUAAUGAAGUCGGGCUACCGACGUUGACUAGUGUGAGAC